AGAGAGCCUUAUAUGACAGAUUUCUGUGUCCAUGGAAUGGUCACAUCUUCUAGCCAUGGAAGGUGAACAGAUCAACAAACAGAAUGCACAUGAAAUGUCAUUUUUGGGAGGGACACGGGACCAGAAAUAGCUGACCACAGCCUGGAUCCUGAAGUGUUGGUUGAGUGAACCAAAGAAGAACCUAUGAACUUCCCUUUCAUCGUGAGCCUCAUGAACAAGCCUCCCACAACUCACACUACCGCUAAUGCCAAGCUUCUGAGAUCUCCCACUUAUAGUGGUAAUCCACCAAAUUAACAAAUUCUGGUAGAGACUUCAAGAUAUUGCUACUCUUGAGAUACUGAAAUCUGGGCCAAGAAGAGGAUGAUAUAAGCUUUGUGAAGAGAACGGUUGUAUUGUUAAUUCUUCUAGAUUUCUAGCAGCUUUUGAUUCCCACCAAGAAUGGUGUCCUAAAAGAAGAGGCGGCUGAGAUGGGAACAGUGGUCAAGGUAUUCUAUUAAUUUAUACUAAACUGACUUAUUUCAGAUGGUAUAAGAAAUUUAUGAUGCUAAGUCCCACAGAAUUCCUAUUCAACAACUCUAUGGGAGUUUUGGGAGAUCUUAUUUAAAUAUUUGGGAUCUUGAGCCAUUAUUCUAACCUCAAACAAAACAAGAAAGAAUUGUUUGCCAUAUUUGUUUGUUUGUUUGUUUUAAAAAAGUUGUAUGGCCACCCAUCUUAAAACACAACUCUAAGUGACUCACAAGAACAAUAAAACCUAGAACUAUAAGAAAACCCAUAAAACAUAAAAUCAUAAAACCAAGACAAAAUCUGGUGCCUGGUGCCCCUUGAAUCCCCGAUGAGGUGAGUUGUUCCAUAAGACAGGGGCAGCCACAGGAAAUGCAGGUCCCUCUAGAGGGCAGGAUUUCAGGGAAGGGACCUGGAAUGUGCCUAUCGUAUCCAAUCCGGUAAGACAGGCAAGUAUGCUCAGGGCAGAAUGGGGCUUUUCGUCUGCUACCCUUGGCCGCGCCUGCUUCUCCGACAGGCUUUCGCCUCGGGGUUAUUCGCCUCUAGCUUUUCUCCUUGGCUGACAUGCCCCCGGCCAGUUGGCCCCAGUCCCUCUGUCCCACAUGCUUCGGCAUGGCCCAUUCAAUGCCACACCCUUCGCCCCAGGCUUUUAGCCUUCUGGGAUGGUUAGCCACCAGCCAAUUGG
Non-coding RNA from Pantherophis guttatus, 1186 nucleotides. NCBI's taxonomy places the organism in Eukaryota, Metazoa, Chordata, Lepidosauria, Squamata, Colubridae. The record is from RefSeq and is a predicted model, not a curated record.